AGUGAACGCUGGCGGCGUGCCUAAUACAUGCAAGUCGAACGGAGAUUAAGUAGCUUGCUAUUUAAUCUUAGUGGCGCACGGGUGAGUAAUAUAUAGCUAACUUGCCCAUUACUAAGGGACAACAGUUGGAAACGACUGCUAAUACCUUAUACUCCGUAUCUAUAUAAGUAGAUACGGGAAAGUUUUUCGGUAAUGGAUAGGGCUAUAUCGUAUCAGCUAGUUGGUAAGGUAAUGGCUUACCAAGGCUAUGACGCGUAACUGGUCUGAGAGGAUGAUCAGUCACACUGGAACUGAGACACGGUCCAGACUCCUACGGGAGACAGCAGUAGGGAAUAUUGCUCAAUGGGGGAAACCCUGAAGCAGCAACGCCGCGUAGAGGAUGACACUUUUCGGAGCGUAAACUCCUUUUCUUGGGAAAGAAUUAUGACGGUACCCAAGGAAUAAGCACCGGCUAACUCCGUG
This 462-nucleotide ribosomal RNA is filed under the name uncultured bacterium. RNAcentral describes it as "partial 16S ribosomal RNA". It matches the Rfam family "Bacterial small subunit ribosomal RNA", at positions 29 to 507 of the family's 1533-position model. The record is from RNAcentral.